Xenopus laevis (African clawed frog) is the source of this 385-nucleotide long non-coding RNA. RefSeq lists it as uncharacterized. The record is from RefSeq and is a predicted model, not a curated record. The transcript is spliced from 4 exons. NCBI's taxonomy places the organism in Eukaryota, Metazoa, Chordata, Amphibia, Anura, Pipidae.
UUGAUCCCAACUAAAAUAUAAUUAAUCCUUUAAAGUUAUCCUUUAUUUUAAGGCAGCAUUAAGGAUUUGGAUUUUCAAGCAUGACUUGGGACACAACAGCCAAGCAUACGACGCAUUAACUCAAAUCCCAGAUCCUCGCAGGCAACGGGACUGUUUACGGCAUCUCAUAGUGGUUCUGUGUGAGAGCUCCCAGCUGCAAGACCUUGUAGAGUUUCCAUAUGUAAAUCACCAUAAUGAGACCAAGUGACCAACGCAGAAAAUAUUCCCCCGGACCAGAAACCGCUUUCAGAGACUUGUGUAAAUGCUGGUCUGCCAGGCGGAUGUCUAAGAAACAUCGGCAGAAGAUCCUCAUAAUGCAUCUGGAAAAAGAGACCGCACAAUCUAA